RNAcentral lists this ribosomal RNA (493 nucleotides) under Streptococcus parasanguinis. RNAcentral's name for it is "bacterial SSU rRNA". It matches the Rfam family "Bacterial small subunit ribosomal RNA", at positions 28 to 504 of the family's 1533-position model. The record is from RNAcentral. Lineage: Bacteria; Bacillati; Bacillota; Bacilli; Lactobacillales; Streptococcaceae.
GAUGAACGCUGGCGGCGUGCCUAAUACAUGCAAGUAGAACGCUGAAGCUUGGUGCUUGCACCGAGCGGAUGAGUUGCGAACGGGUGAGUAACGCGUAGGUAACCUGCCUCUUAGCGGGGGAUAACUAUUGGAAACGAUAGCUAAUACCGCAUAAAAGUCGAUAUCGCAUGAAGUUGACUUGAAAGGUGCAAUCGCAUCACUAAGAGAUGGACCUGCGUUGUAUUAGCUAGUUGGUGAGGUAACGGCUCACCAAGGCGACGAUACAUAGCCGACCUGAGAGGGUGAUCGGCCACACUGGGACUGAGACACGGCCCAGACUCCUACGGGAGGCAGCAGUAGGGAAUCUUCGGCAAUGGGGCAACCCUGACCGAGCAACGCCGCGUGAGUGAAGAAGGUUUUCGGAUCGUAAAGCUCUGUUGUAAGAGAAGAACGAGUGUGAGAGUGGAAAGUUCACACUGUGACGGUAACUUACCAGAAAAGGACGGCUAACUAC